AGGGUAAUUGUCACAAUCAGUCACCUUCUCAAACAUCAUAAUCAUCUUCCAAGCAGAGAAAAGCAAGGAUUUCCAACAGAUCAUAGUAUCAAUGAAGUGAAAGACACAUCUACAACCUAAACAAAGUCUAGAAAUCAAGAGAAACAUGCAAAACUGUACACAAGACAAAACAAAAACUACCUAGAAAACAAAAAAUUUAACGCAAAAAACAAAAACUAACAAAGAAAGUAGAAAUCUCC
RNAcentral lists this long non-coding RNA (239 nucleotides) under Vigna radiata. RNAcentral's name for it is "long non-coding RNA (VRAD_LNC008431)". The record is from RNAcentral. Lineage: Eukaryota; Viridiplantae; Streptophyta; Magnoliopsida; Fabales; Fabaceae.